GGGGGUGUAGCUCAUGGUAGAGCACUUACCUAGCAUGCCUGAGGGCCUGGGUUCAAUACCUAGCACCUUCC
RNAcentral lists this transfer RNA (71 nucleotides) under Urocitellus parryii (Arctic ground squirrel). RNAcentral's name for it is "Spermophilus parryii (Arctic ground squirrel) tRNA". It matches the Rfam family "tRNA". From Rfam's summary of the family: Transfer RNA (tRNA) molecules are approximately 80 nucleotides in length. Their secondary structure includes four short double-helical elements and three loops (D, anti-codon, and T loops). The record is from Rfam by way of RNAcentral. Lineage: Eukaryota; Metazoa; Chordata; Mammalia; Rodentia; Sciuridae. RNAcentral also lists the same sequence under 1 other name.